AGCGAACGCUGGCGGCAGGCCUAACACAUGCAAGUCGAACGAACCUUUCGGGGUUAGUGGCGGACGUGUGAGUAACACGUGGGAACGUGCCUUUAGGUUCGGAAUACCUCAGGGAAACUUGUGCUAAUACCGAAUGUGCCCUUCGGGGGAAAGAUCUAUCGCCUUUAGAGCGGCCCGCGUCUGAUUAGCUAGUUGGUUGAGGUAAUGGCUCACCAAGGCGACGAUCAGUAGCUGGUCUGAGAGGAUGAUCAGCCACAUUGGGACUGAGACACGGCCCAAACUCCUACGGGAGGCAGCAGUGGGGAAUCUUGCGCAAGGGGCGAAAGCCUGACGAAGCCAUGCCGGGGGAAUGAUGAAGGUCUUAGGAUUGUAAAAUUCUUUCACCGGGGACGAUAAUGACGGUACCCGGAGAAGAAGCCCCGGCUAACUUCGUG
Molecule: ribosomal RNA, 434 nt
Filed under: uncultured bacterium
Lineage: Bacteria
Description: partial 16S ribosomal RNA
Rfam family: Bacterial small subunit ribosomal RNA
Source: RNAcentral